UAGCUGGUACAUAUAUAGGGCAAUAUUAAUUCUAAUUUCAUUAGGAAUAUGAUUAUUCCAAUUCUAUAUUAUAAUCUAGAUACAUUUGAUAAAAAAAAAAAAAGAUAUUAUUUAUUUAUAUAAUAAAUCUGAUGGCUAAAAACAUUUAGGGAAAUUACCAAACUUUUCCAACCUUUAUUUUUCGUUUGAAAAAAAAAAACCUUUAUUUUCAUAAAUAUAUCUUUAUUUUAAUUUUUCUUGUUGAAUUAGUAUUCUCCUUCCUCUGGAACUUGGGUGCCUUCUGCGACUUGGGCUAGAGCAAAAGAAUGUUAACCUUUUGGCCUCACUCGAUCGACCUCAACAUCAUGGCCGCCGUGGCCUGUGAACUCCCGUUUGGUUUGAAGAGGCAACAUAGCGUUGAGUACUGGAUCUGAAAUGGCUGACGCAUUUUUUGUGCCCUUCUUUUCAUCUUUGAGUUUUAAUACUCAUGGCUCCAAACUGAUCGGGUUGAUCGUCAAUUGCAGCUCAUGGUUUACCACCUCCCCUAGCCUUAAUUAGUCGUUCGUAAUCUUAUGGAGCAGGCCAGGUUUGCUUAUUUAUGCACCAUAAUGUCUUGAAUGAACCAUCGGCAUGAAAGACUGGUUCGCUCGUAGAUUUUGCACCUGAUCCUGCACCUCUCAUGCAAAGUCACGGCAAGAUUUAUAAUACGAGAGUGAUUCGGGCUCUUGAAACUGAAGCAUGUAAUAGCCAAAGAUAGAAUACUAGUCAAUACUUUAAUAUUUUACCCACCAUACUUACAAUUUUAUUUUCAUUCAACAGUUAAUACUUUAAUAUUUUACCCACCAUACUAAUACAAUUUUAUUUUCAUUCAA
This is a long non-coding RNA of Cannabis sativa, 851 nucleotides long. RefSeq lists it as uncharacterized. The record is from RefSeq and is a predicted model, not a curated record. The transcript is spliced from 3 exons. NCBI's taxonomy places the organism in Eukaryota, Viridiplantae, Streptophyta, Magnoliopsida, Rosales, Cannabaceae.